GAAAAUUACCACCAAACAAGAUCUUAAUAGGAUUUAAAACUAAAAAACCAAGAAUAUAAAAGUUGUCUGCAGGAGAGAUAAAAGUCUCGACUUCCAAAAAUUCCUUCUUUUUCCUUCUUAGUAUCUAUCAAUUCUCUCUGCAACAAUCUCUAACCAGGUAUGCUUUUUCAUCCUUUGUAAGAUCAACUCUAGAAGUAGAAAAGUCUUUUCAUUUUUUUUCAGAGGGUACUGGCUAUUCAUAGAGUGCAAGAUUUGAACUGUAAACAUCUUCAUCUCAUAGUUUCAAAGGAACAAAGACACAAUUCAAAGUAACAAAUGAGAAAAUAACUCUGCUGCAAAAACAUUUUUGUUUUUCUCUAUAAAAAUUUGACAAGGCCUAGAACUCUCAGGAUUUCUUAGCAUUCUCUACAGAACCAUACAUCUAUCCAAUCCUGGUUGAUUUGCCACCAUCAAAAUGCGUCCUGGACUUGAAAACAAAGAUGGCAUUUGGGUCCUUGACAUCAUACAUCCUAGCCAAUUUCUCCUUCAACUCAGCCUUGGAAACAUUAGGCCUUCCAGGAUGCAGAACAUCAAUGACAAAUCGUUUUCUGGAAAGAAGACGAUUGGUCAUGAACUUCCUAGUACGAAUAGUCACCGCCUUGUCCGCCAUUUUUUCUUGCCUCCGACGCCGCCACUGCUUCCGCUCUUUCUCCUCUGAAUGGGCGGUUGGUUGGGGAAGCGACAGAAGGGGAACGUAAAAGGCUUUCUUACAAUAAUCAAUGUCCAUGAGGGUCUUGAAUUUUAUAGUAAUAGAUUGAUGCCAAGUUAAUCCCAGAGCAAUCUUGCUGAGUUUUCUUGGCCAUGAUUGCAUGUUCACUCUUUAAAAGAUAGGGAGUGUAAUUGAUCAAAUGGGGGAGCCAACAGCUUCAACGUCUUCAGUGUUAGAGAAAUGGACAAAUGCUGCUAGUCCUUUCAAUGAAUCAGUUGUGGCAUUUUCAUUAGCAUAUCUUGUGUGAAAAACAGGACUUCUUUUUCCUUUUUUUUCUCUCUCUCUCUCUCUCAACUUAAUUAGAACAUUUCUUUAGCUGUUUCACCACUGAGCUGGGUGAGGAAUUGGUAUGGUGCCAUAACAGCACUGCUUUCUUGAAGUGAGAUUGCUGCUCUGUUUUUCCUCUGUUUCUAGCCGUGUUUCCAACAACUUCUUUGGAACUCUCUAGUUUUUACAGCUUGUGUUUAAAAGGUGUAAUGGUAUGUGUUUUCCUUGCUCUAUGUGGCAAUUUGUCUUCUUGACAAAAGUCCUGUAAUUCAAUUCUAAAAAUGCUUGCAGUUAAUUUUUUGCUUGAAUUUAGCUUAUUAAUAUGUGAUUUUUCUGGUGCAGGUUAACAUUGCAAAUUUGCAAGGUGGCUUGUUUGGGAUGUAAUAGGUGACAAGACCUUUUGGAAGCUCAAGUUUGUUUUAAACGGUGGUUAUAAACUCUAGUUAUUUUGGAAAGGCACAAUUGCUGUUCAUGUAUUUUUGCAGUAAUGACUUCAACUUUUGGUCAUGCAUAGGUGCUGAAUUAUGAUUAAAUGUCACACGUCCCUUUUUCCAUCCUAGUUUGUGCUUAUUGUUUUUUUUAGUUUCAAUUUUGCAUUUUAUUGUUUUUUAUUAAUCCGUGUAAUGAAAGUGGGAAAGUCUGACAAUAUGUAAUACAAUUGCCCAAGAUUUUUGGAACUUGGAGAUUCAUAUAGACCAAAUACUUUAAAU
Molecule: long non-coding RNA, 1725 nt
Filed under: Coffea arabica (coffee)
Lineage: Eukaryota; Viridiplantae; Streptophyta; Magnoliopsida; Gentianales; Rubiaceae
Description: long non-coding RNA (CARA_LNC007077)
Source: RNAcentral